GACAGAGGUCCCGAGCGUUAGGCGGAAUCACUGGGCUUAAAGCGUGUGUAGGCGGAUGCCUAAGUACCUUGUGAAAUCCCACGGCUCACCCGUGGAACUGCUCGGUAUACUGGGUGUCUUGAGCCACUUAGGGGCUACCGGAACAAAUGGUGGAGCGGUGAAAUGCGUAGAUAUCAUUUGGAACGCCAAUGGUGAAAACAGGUAGCUGGGAGUGUGCUGACGCUGAGACACGAAAGCCAGGGGAGCAAAUGGG
Molecule: ribosomal RNA, 253 nt
Filed under: uncultured bacterium
Lineage: Bacteria
Description: partial 16S ribosomal RNA
Rfam family: Bacterial small subunit ribosomal RNA
Source: RNAcentral